AUAAAAAGGUAAUUUUACUUCCUAAAUAUUUAUCCUCCUUUUUCUUUUCAUCCGCGAUUCAGUUCAAAAAAAAAUUCACUAUCUUUCUCAUUCACUCCACUCUUUCACAACACAAAUGUAUCCGAACUAAAAUCCCUGGAUCUUAUCCCAAUUUCGAUAGAUACAAUACCUCUACAAAUAAACAUAUAAACAUAUAUGGGCAAAUAAUCUCUAUUAUUGAAUCAUUCACAGUCCAUAUCAUUAUCCUUACGCUUACUAGUUAAAUUUUUUACUACUUUUUAGUCCCUUUAAUUGACAUAGACACAAACACUACACCAGGAUGAUGCAUGGGAAAUGGUCGGG
Molecule: unclassified non-coding RNA, 342 nt
Filed under: Roscoea humeana
Lineage: Eukaryota; Viridiplantae; Streptophyta; Magnoliopsida; Zingiberales; Zingiberaceae
Description: trnL-trnF intergenic spacer
Source: RNAcentral